RNAcentral lists this ribosomal RNA (300 nucleotides) under Triticum aestivum (bread wheat). RNAcentral describes it as "partial small subunit ribosomal RNA". Lineage: Eukaryota; Viridiplantae; Streptophyta; Magnoliopsida; Poales; Poaceae. The record is from RNAcentral.
AUUUGGCAGGCGAAAAUCCCUUUAAAAAUUCAAAUUUUCAUGUGGCAAACCUUUCAAGAUGCUAUCUUGAAUAGAGAUGUCAUGAGUAGAAGACGAUGGGCUGGCAACCCUAAAUGUUCCUUCUGUUGGAACAGAGAGACUUCGAAACACCUGUUCUUCACGUGUCUUGUGGCCAGGGUGGUCUGGAGGACGGUGGGUUGUGUUCUGGGUACGGACACUUGUUCGAACAAUAUAUGGCAAUAUUUCUCGUGGUGCUAUGUUUUCCUUCCUGAUGGGGAAAGUUUUACACAUUUGUGCUAG